AUUUGUUUCAGUUGAACUGGUCACAACACCAGGAUUCAUCAAAGUUUCACACAAAUAAUGCUUGGUCACUUUGUCAAAAGUUCGGAGUUGCGACUUAAGCAGAUAAUAGAGAUUAUAGAUUGAGUUGGGUGGCAAAUUUACCUUCCAUCGAGGUAAGAUGGGGAAGACAGGCCGGGCAACCACUCCCCUUUCUUGGCCUCCACCUUGAAGGACCUGUAUGACGAAGAGGUCAUGGGUUUUACAGAUACUUCUCGACCCAGUUUACCGGAGGACCCAGUGAGGAACCUCGAUUUGGAGGCGCAUGGCCGGAAGACGGCGGCGGAAGCUUGGGUGGUGACAGUGGCCAUAUUUUCCGACCUGAAUUCCGGGGGAGAGAUGCGGGUUGUGACUUGUGAGGGAUGUGGUUAGACUCUGA
RNAcentral lists this long non-coding RNA (415 nucleotides) under Vitis vinifera (wine grape). RNAcentral describes it as "long non-coding RNA (VVIN_LNC005707)". The record is from RNAcentral. Lineage: Eukaryota; Viridiplantae; Streptophyta; Magnoliopsida; Vitales; Vitaceae.